RNAcentral lists this ribosomal RNA (253 nucleotides) under uncultured bacterium. Its description in RNAcentral is "partial 16S ribosomal RNA". It matches the Rfam family "Bacterial small subunit ribosomal RNA", at positions 524 to 776 of the family's 1533-position model. The record is from RNAcentral.
UACGGAGGGUGCGAGCGUUGUCCGGAAUCACUGGGCGUAAAGGGCGCGUAGGCGGCCCGAUAAGUCGGAUGUCAAAUUCCGGGGCUCAACUCCGGGGCGCCAUCCGAGACUGUCAGGCUCGAGCACGGCAGGGGCGAGUGGAAUUCCCGGUGUAGCGGUGGAAUGCGUAGAGAUCGGGAAGAACACCCGUGGCGAAGGCGGCUCGCUGGGCCGUUGCUGACGCUGAGGCGCGAAAGCGUGGGGAGCAAACAGG